Long non-coding RNA from Arabidopsis lyrata subsp. lyrata, 2066 nucleotides. RefSeq lists it as uncharacterized. The record is from RefSeq and is a predicted model, not a curated record. The transcript is spliced from 2 exons. Lineage: Eukaryota; Viridiplantae; Streptophyta; Magnoliopsida; Brassicales; Brassicaceae.
CGAGUCCACCUAAAAAAAAAUGUUUAAUUUCGAAUUGGAUUGGAACCGAAAUCACAUAAAGCGGGUCGGUUUUUGUUAAUUCGAUUUUAUUUUCUAUCGUAUGCGGUUAUUUCGGGUUUAUCGGUUAUAUUGGUCCAAUUUUGGUUAGUUGAUUGUAAUUUCUUCACCGGGUCGGAUCGAUCGAGCUCAGAGAAGAAGAAUUAGAGAUAAAUUUGAAAUCGCGGAAGAUCUGGUUCUCGACACGGCGAUCAGAGAUUGGGUUUUGAUCCCUCUCUCCGUCGUUACGGUUCUUAUUAGAAUUCUCCGCUACUUCGUCUCUUAGCUCAUGCGAUCUUCUCCGUCACCAAAGAAAGGUGAGUCAUCAUCUCUACUUAUUGGCCACCUAUAGAUUGUGUGUCAGAAUUAGCUGAAUUGGAUAGGGUUUGGUGAAUCAUCUUUAGUCACUGUGUAAGUUUUCUGUUUCUUAUGGAGGAAUUGGUGACACACAACGAAUGAUGCCAAUGGGUGGAUUUGACAUCCUUGAAAAUCUUCUCCUACAUUUUGCAUUCUGAUCUUGGUCCAAAGCCUGAUUUUUGUAUCACUGUAUUUCCAAAUUUUCCUGAGAGGACAAGAUCCUUGUGUUCUGCAAGAAGCCAUUGAUUGAAUGGAAGCUAUUUGAUGCGUUUUGUAUCAUUGCAUUUGCAAAUUGUCGAGGACUCAAGUAUGAAGACUGGAUAAAAACCUGCUCCUGCUUUCCUUGCCUGUGAGGCGCUCAAGCUGUGAUCCAAGGCAUCAUGGAGAUGUGUUGAAUUACAUACUCAAAUGUUUGUAAAUCAAUCUAAAUCACCUCUCAGGAGAUGCCUUGAUGGCUUUUGUGGCGAAGCAUGUAAUAGGUGUGCAUUCUACCUGGCUAUACUCCACCAAUGUAGCGAUUGUAAGAUUAGACAGACUAUCGUGCAGAUUCAAGAGAAUUGGUUUUCAGCAGAGCAUCUGAUUAGAAGGUUACUAGGCCCUGCAGAAAUUGUAAAACAGUGGAUUAAGGUACUAGGAACUAAGUGAAGUUUGAUUUUUCAAAGUCCUUUGAUUUGAGUGUGAACGAUACAGAUGAAAACUGAUCUAACCCUUGUAAACUGUUGAUAACACGUAAGGAACUGAGGAUUCUUUGCAUAGUCUGAGCAUCGUUUGGUUUGAGAAAGCUUUGUUAGAAGCAUGGUUAUAAGUCCUUUGAUUUGAGUGUAAGUGGUUAUAAGGUACUAGGAACUACUAGUCUAAGUGAAGUUUGAUUUCUUAAAGUCCUUUGAUUUGGUGUGAUCGAUGCAGAUGAAAACCCAAAUUGAUCUAACCCUUGUAAACUGUUGAUAACACGUGAGGAACUGAGGAUUUUUUGCAUAAUCUGGGCAUUGAUCGGUUAGGGAAGCUUUGUUGGAAGCAUGGUUGCAAGAGAUAGGUCAGAUUCUUCUUUAGAGGGUGGUUACAGCCAGUGUGAGUCAUUAGCUAAUGAAAUUUGCAGUCAUGAAUCUAAAAGGCAACCAAUACCACAAAGAGGUCAAGGAAAGUACCUUCUUCGAGUAACAAGCCAGCUUAAGCAAAUGCUGAUAGGCCAGAGAAGAUUGAGUGCAACCACUAGCAUAGACGUAAAAUCGGGUCAGUCAUAGUCGCGGCUCGAGAAGCAUGCAGCUUUCCACAUUUGAUUGGGCUGCGCUGGUCUGAUAUGGUGUACCAACUGGAAUUGAUGCUCUUCUUCCUUCUUUUUCAUCUUGUUAGUUUGGUUAGAGCAUCUUAUCUCGUAAUAACAAUUUUGGGGGAGAGAUUAUAUCAAAAGGUUUUAAGAGUUUAGGGCUUCAAAUCAGAGAUCUUAUGACGAUACAAGAGAAGAGAAAAGGGAGACUCUAGAGAUAUCACAUGGUGCAUUUCCUCAAAUUACAUGUUACAAUUAAUUUCUGUGUGUAUUUCCAUUUUAUUUAUUCAAGUUUUUAUCAUAUUUACAGAGACAUCAUUUUCUUUUAAAUCAUUAGACAAUGACAAACAUAACAAAAGAACAAGCUCAGAAUUCGGAAACGGAACAAAGAUACAAUAUGUGGGAUAAA